Molecule: ribosomal RNA, 776 nt
Filed under: Aeromicrobium sp.
Lineage: Bacteria; Bacillati; Actinomycetota; Actinomycetes; Propionibacteriales; Nocardioidaceae
Description: bacterial SSU rRNA
Rfam family: Bacterial small subunit ribosomal RNA
Source: RNAcentral
CAGGACGAACGCUGGCGGCGUGCUUAACACAUGCAAGUCGAGCGGUAAGGCUCCUUCGGGAGUACACGAGCGGCGAACGGGUGAGUAACACGUGAGCAACCUACCCCUUUCAUCGGAAUAACCAGUGGAAACGCUGGCUAAUGCCGAAUACGACCACCGAAGGCAUCUUCUGGUGGUGGAAAGCUCCGGCGGAGAGGGAUGGGCUCGCGGCCUAUCAGCUAGUUGGUGAGGUAAUGGCUCACCAAGGCAACGACGGGUAGCCGGCCUGAGAGGGUGACCGGCCACACUGGGACUGAGACACGGCCCAGACUCCUACGGGAGGCAGCAGUGGGGAAUAUUGGACAAUGGGCGAAAGCCUGAUCCAGCAACGCCGCGUGAGGGAUGACGGCCUUCGGGUUGUAAACCUCUUUCAGUAGGGACGAAGCGAAAGUGACGGUACCUACAGAAGAAGGACCGGCCAACUACGUGCCAGCAGCCGCGGUAAUACGUAGGGUCCGAGCGUUGUCCGGAAUUAUUGGGCGUAAAGGGCUCGUAGGCGGUUUGUCGCGUCGGGAGUGAAAACUCAGGGCUCAACCCUGAGCGUGCUUCCGAUACGGGCAAACUAGAGGUAUGCAGGGGAGAAUGGAAUUCCUGGUGUAGCGGUGGAAUGCGCAGAUAUCAGGAGGAACACCGGUGGCGAAGGCGGUUCUCUGGGCAUUACCUGACGCUGAGGAGCGAAAGCAUGGGGAGCGAACAGGAUUAGAUACCCUGGUAGUCCAUGCCGUAAACGUUGGGCG